Molecule: ribosomal RNA, 120 nt
Filed under: Streptomyces paraguayensis
Lineage: Bacteria; Bacillati; Actinomycetota; Actinomycetes; Kitasatosporales; Streptomycetaceae
Description: partial 16S rRNA
Rfam family: Bacterial small subunit ribosomal RNA
Source: RNAcentral
UCUAAUACCGGAUACGACAUCCUCCCGCAUGGGAAGGGGUGGAAAGCUCCGGCGGUGCAGGAUGAGCCCGCGGCCUAUCAGCUUGUUGGUGGGGUGAUGGCCUACCAAGGCGACGACGGG